RNAcentral lists this ribosomal RNA (460 nucleotides) under uncultured bacterium. RNAcentral describes it as "partial 16S ribosomal RNA". It matches the Rfam family "Bacterial small subunit ribosomal RNA", at positions 338 to 795 of the family's 1533-position model. The record is from RNAcentral.
CCUACGGGUGGCAGCAGUGAGGAAUAUUGGUCAAUGGCCGCGAGCCUGAACCAGCCAAGUCGCGUGAAGGAUGACUGCCCUACGGGUUGUAAACCUCUUUUAUCAGGGAAUAAAGUGAGGCACGUGUGCCUUUUUGUAUGUACUUUAUGAAUAAGGAUCGGCUAACUCCGUGCCAGCAGCCGCGGUAAUACGGAGGAUGCGAGCGUUAUCCGGAUUUAUUGGGUUUAAAGGGUGCGGAGGUGGGUGGUGAAGUCAGUUGUGAAAGUUUGGGGCUCAACCGUAGAAUUGCAUUUGAUACUGGAAGUCUUGAGUGCAGGUGAGGUAGGCGGAAUGCGUGGUGUAGCGGUGAAAUGCUUAGAUAUCACGAAGAACUCCGAUUGCGAAGGCAGCUUACUAAACUGCCACUGACAUUGAUGCUCGAAAGUGUGGGUAUCAAACAGGAUUAGAUACCCCGGUAGUC